GGGAGCAAGAGCCCGGAGAUGGAUUCUGAGACACGAAUCCAGGCCCUACGGGGCGCAGCAGGCGCGAAAACUUUACAAUGCAGGCAACUGUGAUAAGGGAACCCCGAGUGCCCGUAUGGACGGGCUGUUCAGGUGCUUAAAAACCACCUGGAGAAAGGGCCGGGCAAGACCGGUGCCAGCCGCCGCGGUAAUACCGGCGGCUCGAGUGGUGGCCACUAUUACUGGGCUUAAAGCGUCCGUAGCUUGGUCGUUAAGCCUCUGGGGAAAUCUUCCGGCUCAACCGGAAGGCGUCUCAGGGGAACUGGCGACCUAGGGAUCGGGAGAGGUGAGAGGUACUCUGGGGGUAGGAGUGAAAUCCUGUAAUCCUCAGGGGACCACCUGUGGCGAAGGCGUCUCACCAGAACGACUCCGACAGUGAGGGACGAAAGCUGGGGGAGCAAACCGGAUUAGAUACCCGGGUAGUCCCAGCCGUAAACUAUGCGCGUUAGGUGAGUAUUGGGAAUUCCUGCAGC
Molecule: ribosomal RNA, 512 nt
Filed under: uncultured Methanofollis sp.
Lineage: Archaea; Methanobacteriati; Methanobacteriota; Methanomicrobia; Methanomicrobiales; Methanomicrobiaceae
Description: bacterial SSU rRNA
Rfam family: Archaeal small subunit ribosomal RNA
Source: RNAcentral